GCUGAGCCCACUCGUCUCCUGACACCUACAAGCCCGACCAUGACAGAUGGUAUCAAACAGCACCCCCUGCAGGUACUUCUCCUCUCCCACUUCCAGCCUCACAUUCCCCUUGUAUUUUUUCUCAGGUGUGUCAACUCAGUAAAAUGAGUUACACAAAGAAAAGUGUCAGUGUUUUCGAAAAUGUGGCUACCAGACUUGCUGACAUUGAUUGACAGCUUUAAUACAAUCCUUCUUUUGUCUAUCAGCAUUCUUGAUGAAGACAGAUGUGAUGUAAUACUGUGGUAAAGCUUUACUGAAUGCUGUAGACACAUCAUGGCUUUUGUACAGCACUGAGUUACAAGAAGCUCACAGGGUAAACUUUAAGACCAGCAUAACACAAGAACAACUGAGAAAUCAUGAAUUGCCCCCUGUGAGGAGGGACUACAUGAUCUAUUUCAGAUGUGCUGAUCACAUUUAUUGCAGUUAAUUGAUUAUAAAAGCAUCAUUAGCCUUUGAAUGUGAGAUAAAUGUUUGUGCUUCACCAGAAGAUAUAUAUAUAUAUAACAUGUUUUUUUUUCAAGAUGUUGUUCUUAUGGCCACAAUUCUCCAUUUAAAACUUAUGAUAAAAUGCUUUGACUUCUCAGAUGGCUCCAGUAAUGUCACAGGACAUGGAUACAUACAACAGCCCAAUGUUUACCACGGUGAGUAACAGGUCCUAAAUAGUCUCUGUGCAUUUGUAAUUCUACUAGACAAAAGACAACAGGAUUUUGAGGAAUAUGUACAGCAGCAGGACUUGUUUAAAUGGAGAGUUCCUCCACCCUGAUUUAACCUUGUAACCUUGCUGUAUAUCCUGUCCAGAUUAACACCAACAUGACCUCACUGGGCAUGCAACAGCAGGCAAGAGACACUUUCAGAAGCCAAAGAGGACAAAGCAUGUACUCUACCUGGAAUACAAAUAACCAAACGAACACCUACCAGGGAAACUCAUCAAGGUUCAAGCGCUCUAUCAGCAUGCUGUCACAUCAACAUGUCGCGGAUCACAUUGACAGGAGACUGUACAUUAUUGAUAGGAACAACGUAGACUGCCCAGCGUACCAACCCUACCAGUAUGGCUACGAGGGACAGGGGAGCAAAUGCCAGUCACUGGAUCAGCUGUCAUUCGGCGACCCGGCGGAUGAAUUUAAGUUUCUGAAUGAUUUGGGGCCAAAGUUCAAGACCUUGGGAGGCAUCUGUCACCAGACAAUUAAAGAAAAAAACAUUCAAAUUUAA
This 1248-nucleotide long non-coding RNA is filed under the name Sparus aurata (gilthead seabream). RNAcentral describes it as "lncRNA (ENSSAUG00010014385.1)". The record is from RNAcentral. Lineage: Eukaryota; Metazoa; Chordata; Actinopteri; Spariformes; Sparidae.